Molecule: small RNA, 4156 nt
Filed under: Oryza sativa Japonica Group (Japanese rice)
Lineage: Eukaryota; Viridiplantae; Streptophyta; Magnoliopsida; Poales; Poaceae
Description: sRNA Os01g0384375
Source: RNAcentral
AUAAAAAAAUUGAAUUCAAAUUCAAAUUAAUAUUUGAAUUUAAAUUCAAAUUUGAAUCGGGUAUAUAAACUUUUGACUUAUAAACUUUGGGUCUAUAAACUUUAGGUGUAUAAACUUUAGAUGUAUAAAAAUACUAUAUAGAAAAAAUAUUUGAAUUCAAAUUUAAAUUUGAAUCGGAUAUAUAAACUUUUGACUUAUAAACUUUGGAUCUGUAAUAUUUAAGUGUAUAAACUUUAGAUGUGUAAACUUUAGGUGUGUAAACUUUUGGUGCAUAAAUUUUCUAAAAUAUGAAAGUAAUGCGGUGUCAAAAAAGGAAAGUGGAGGGAGGGGGGAUUGAUCGCCCGGAGCGCUUGAUCGCUCGUUAGGAUUCUCGUUUUACUUUGGGCCACUUUUUAUUACCGAUGUUUCGCUUUGGACCACCUUAGGACCAAUGUUUUCACUUUGGACCGGAUAUUUUUACCUUUGUUUCACAUUGGACCACCCUCACUCUUUUAUCCAUCUACAUCCAACUUGUAAUAUGUCGAAGAAAUAGUCUUACAUAUAGCUGUGGCAGUUCAUUGACGAGUAGGAGACGGCGUAAUCGAGAUCGUUCAUAUGCUUGAGAAGAGAGUUGGGUGGUCCAAAGUGAAACAAAUGUAAGUUUACCCAGUCCAAAGUAAAAAUAUUGCUUAAAUGGUGGUCCAAAGUGAAACAUAGGUAACAAAAGGUGGCCCGAAGUGAAAUUUACUCAACUUUUGAAUACCUUUUCUAUUGUACAUAAAAAAGAGUUGUGGUGAUUAAGUGUUUCUUAUUUGGUACUGGUAUAGUAUAUCUCCUAACCAGAAUCAGCACCAAUCUUUAACCUCGCAUUGCUAACAUUUGGGCUUUGGCUGACUGGAAAAAUGUUUUUGCGUCUCAUUUGUACUAUCAAAAGAUAUAGAGGAUCACAUCAGGAAUAAAAGGAAAAUCGAAAGUAUGAUUUGGCUGCAAGUCCAUUAACAUAAGGAUUUCAAGAAUUAGGUGGAGUCGCAAUUGUUUAAAUCUUUGCUGAUAAAUUGAAGUUCACAAAGAAGAAACUGUUUCUGUCUACCAAUUUUUACUCUUAUAUUCAGUCCUCUCAUUUUCCUGUACUAACCAUGAUUAACACGCCUGAAACAAUUGAGACUAUCAAUUGGUUCUUUCAAGUUUUUGCAAACUGUUGUCUCAAAUAUUCAAUGAGGCAAAUUAUGAUGGUGCAAUGAACAUUGGUUUCUAAAGUAUGUAAAGAAUAUGCUCAUGAUAAUCUUUGCAUUGUGUACUUGUGUUGUGAACUAUUGCAAAAAGUACAUCUUUAUAUCACUAAAAGAAUUUUAAGGUUGCUGUUGCAUAAAGAGAUUGAGUACUCUGUGUUGACUUGCUGAUAGAAUUUAUCUACCAUUUAAAUCCUUAAGAUGAAUUGAUCUCUCACUUUUCUCCUUUUUUUUGUAGGGUACAUGGCGGAGCUAAACACUAUGCAAACGGUGGUUUAUUUUGCUGUGUCUUAAACAUAGUAGUGAUAUCUAGCAACUAGCAAGGGACUACUACAAUCUUUCAGUAUCCAAGCACAUAGUUAAACAAAAACUUACAGAUAGCAACACAAACUAAAAGAAUUGAAUUGGGAAGGGAAUACCAUAGACAUCUAUGGAGUAUUAAUAUAGAACACACAAACAAGAGUUUAAUUAGGUGCUUAACUAUAAGCAAGAAAGGGACAUGUGGUGGAAUUCUAUUAUGAGAUAACUGAUGCAUAGUACUUGUAACACCAUGCGCCUUAAUUUAGUAUUUUUGAAAAAUAAUUAAAAGUCAGGAAAAUUUAACUUUUCAAGCUGUUGCACGGAUGAACAAGGACCAUGGUAUUCCAGACAUACAUAUAUAGACACACAUUAGGUCCUGUUCUUUUCUCCAACAAGAGUUGGAUGAAAAUUAAGAUUUUCGUGGUACGCGUUUCAAACUGCUAAACGGUGCGUUUCGUGCGAAAACUUUCUAUAUAAAAGUUGCUCUAAAAUAUCAUAUUAAUCUAUUUUUCAAGUUUGUAAUAAUUAAAACUCAAUCAAUCAUACGUUAAUACCACCUCGUUUUGUGUAAAAAACUUAAUCUUCAUCUUCAUCUUCAUUUUCAGAAGAAAAGAAGAGUUAGCGAUAGCGACGCUCCUAAUUCUUACGGUGCUAACGGUUGACGGUCGUUAAGUGUAAACUUUAACCAUCAACUGCUAUAUAAAAGAAUAUAAAAUAUAUCAUCAAACUUACUUGUAGGGGUUUACUACUAACCAUUAUCACUCGUAUUGGUAAAUAUGAGUAUGCAGGUGAUUUCUAAAUGAAAACACACCCGUCUUGCGACGAAAUGCAUCUCCGACCAAUCGUACACGAGCGCUAGGAUUGGAGGGUCCACAUGACAGUCAAAACCGAUAUAAAAUGGGCUUAUCCACGAUGCACUAAUAUAGGGACCCGCCAGUCGGCCUCCUAGCCGAAGAAGCAGCUCGGAAGUGGGGCCCACAGUUUGGCCAAACUAGGGGCUCAGCCGAAUCUUCACUGCCACCUCCCAUCCUGACCUUCCUUAUGUAGGCUCCAGAUGCACUCCUAGUGGUGGUUAUGUUGGUAACCUUCAUAGCACACUAUAAAAGGACAAGAAACUCUCAUUUCCAAUACAAGACUUAAGUGGAGUAUAACUCACAUCCAUAUUUUAAGGCAUCACCUUAGUAUGUGGAAUUAGGUAGAAAGUGAUGGGAAGCUCUGGAAGAAAUGCCCCCAAAUAUCGGAGUUCUCUUUGGGAAGUUCAGAAGGAGUGUCAGGUUUGUUGACAUUCUUCCACUCGAGUUCCGGAGAAGCAUUGGAGUUGUCAGCCUUCUUCUGUUGCUUGACCUCAGCGAAUGCUUGUUUUAAUAAAGUAAGUAUUUGAGAUCUCCAUAUAGUAUUUAAUUAUUUGCUUGAGUGAGAUAUAGUUACAUCGUUACGGGUUCGUCGCUUAGUUCAAUUAUUAUGUGCUCUAGUAUUAGGACUCUGAGUAAAGAAUGAAGUUUCUGCGCGAGGCUAGAGUAAUUAUCAAUAACUUAGGCGCGGUGUCUAGGUUAGUGGUUUCCUUUAUUUGUUGUGUGCUCCAUGCAAAGUGAGGUAUGCGGCAGGUGGUGACAACCUUGUCCAUCUUUUAUAUCCCUCCAUGUUUACGUACAUUGACUCAGUUUGUCAAACCAGGAGAGUGCUAGUGCUCAAAGCAAUUGAUAGAGUUUUACCUUUAACUCAAGUAUAGUACAUUAACCCGUAAGAAUCUUCUUUAGCCUUAGCCUACCAUUAGGUGCUGUCCUUGGAUAGAAUCCUAUUAUUAGAUAUGCACACAAUCCCUAUGAUUUGAUACCUUUGGAAUACUCUAAGUUGAAGUGCUACAGCGGUAUCUGUGCGCUUCCGAUUUUUAUUUUACUAUAUCAAAUACUAACAAGCAUUUCUGACGCUGUUGCCAUGGAACGGUUGCUAUAUCAUCUUCAAACCUGAUUCAUCCUCAUAUCUUUUCUUUGUUGUCCUUCCUUUCUCUUCUUACCUAGCACGGAGCACCUUUCUAUUCAAAACCUUUAUGCUCCAAGGACCGAGUUCUGUGAGCCACCUUUUUCUUCAAACAUAUCUGUUCAUCUGGUAUGAACUCCGUCCUAGCUUAAGAGCCAUGGUUCGGGAAUAAUCCUUCUCAGGAUGUGAAAGCGAAAAUCCCUACCAUCAUUUGCGUGAGUUUGAGCAAUUGUGCUUAUGCCUGACAAUAACGGACAUGACAUAAGAAACCUUAAAGUGGAAAUUGUUUCACUUCUCUCUUACAGAGGGGGCGAAGCAAUGGUAUACUCAUACCAUGAGAAAACUGCAUAUUGAUGGGACAAAUUAAAAAGCAUAUUAUGCCUUGCUUUCUUCCUGUUAACCCGUGUAGUCUCUCUACGUGGAGGUUCACGCGAAAGAAUCCAUUGGUGCAGCCUAUGCUCGUUUCUCCUUGUUAACUCAAGACGACACAGACUUUUCUUUACCGAUCAUGUGUUGUUACAACACUUCCACUCGGGUUUAGACAAGAUGUCUGCCAUGUAUCUCGAUACUUCUGCUGUAGGUUCGUGCGCACACAAAACGAUGUCUGUGGACACCCCGAGUAUUAUACCAUCCAGUGUCCAACGCGAACACCACAUACUAUUGGAGAAGUG